RNAcentral lists this transfer RNA (78 nucleotides) under Sulfobacillus thermosulfidooxidans. RNAcentral's name for it is "tRNA-Asp". It matches the Rfam family "tRNA". Rfam says of the family: Transfer RNA (tRNA) molecules are approximately 80 nucleotides in length. Their secondary structure includes four short double-helical elements and three loops (D, anti-codon, and T loops). The record is from RNAcentral. Lineage: Bacteria; Bacillati; Bacillota; Clostridia; Eubacteriales; Clostridiales Family XVII. Incertae Sedis. RNAcentral also lists the same sequence under 6 other names.
GGAGGCGUGGUGUAGUCGGCCUAACACGCAUGCCUGUCACGCAUGAGAUCACGGGUUCGAAUCCCGUCGCCUCCGCCA